This 443-nucleotide ribosomal RNA is filed under the name uncultured bacterium. Its description in RNAcentral is "partial 16S ribosomal RNA". It matches the Rfam family "Bacterial small subunit ribosomal RNA", at positions 338 to 795 of the family's 1533-position model. The record is from RNAcentral.
CCUACGGGGGGCAGCAGUGGGGAAUAUUGGGCAAUGGGCGCAAGCCUGACCCAGCAACGCCGCGUGAAGGAAGAAGGCUUUCGGGUUGUAAACUUCUUUUGUCAGGGACGAAGCAAGUGACGGUACCUGACGAAUAAGCCACGGCUAACUACGUGCCAGCAGCCGCGGUAAUACGUAGGUGGCAAGCGUUAUCCGGAUUUACUGGGUGUAAAGGGCGUGUAGGCGGGGAAGCAAGUCAGAUGUGAAAACCACGGGCUCAACCUGUGGCCUGCAUUUGAAACUGUUUUUCUUGAGUACUGGAGAGGCAGACGGAAUUCCUAGUGUAGCGGGGAAAGGCGUAGAUAUUAGGAGGAACACCAGUGGCGAAGGCGGUCUGCUGGACAGCAACUGACGCUGAGGCGCGAAAGCGUGGGGAGCAAACAGGAUUAGAUACCCCGGUAGUC